GCCCUCGUAGCGCAAUUGGACAGAGCGUUUGCUUGCGGAGCAAAAGGNNAGAUUCGAAUUCUGCCGGGGGCA
RNAcentral lists this transfer RNA (72 nucleotides) under Anaerolineaceae bacterium. Its description in RNAcentral is "tRNA-Arg". It matches the Rfam family "tRNA". From Rfam's summary of the family: Transfer RNA (tRNA) molecules are approximately 80 nucleotides in length. Their secondary structure includes four short double-helical elements and three loops (D, anti-codon, and T loops). Further hydrogen bonds mediate the characteristic L-shaped molecular structure. tRNAs have two regions of fundamental functional importance: the anti-codon, which is responsible for specific mRNA codon recognition, and the 3' end, to which the tRNAs corresponding amino acid is attached (by aminoacyl-tRNA synthetases). tRNAs cope with the degeneracy of the genetic code in two manners: having more than one tRNA (with a specific anti-codon) for a particular amino acid; and 'wobble' base-pairing, i.e. permitting non-standard base-pairing at the 3rd anti-codon position. Lineage: Bacteria; Bacillati; Chloroflexota; Anaerolineae; Anaerolineales; Anaerolineaceae. The record is from RNAcentral.